UUUUCAGUCAUCUCCAUCUCCCUGCUGGUAUUCCCUAUCUGCUCAGUCUUAUGGCUACCCUUUCUUUUAAGACCUUGAAUAUACUUGUAACAACUUCUUUAAAGUUCUUUUUCUCUUAAUCCUAACAUCUAGAUUGUCUUGAGGUCUAUUUUUAUAUACUGGAGGAUUCUGAACACAGCAGUGACACGCUCUAAAUUUAUGUUUUUGAAAAAGUGCCACUCUAAUAGCCGUGUGGUAAAUGGAGUAUAAAAGUCUAUGUAAAUGAGGUAAAUGGAUAAAUAGGGAUACAAAAGUCAAAUAUUGGGCACAACUUAUGAUGAGUUACAGUUAGAUGGAAGACGACAGUGGUUUUGUCUUAGGUGGUGGCACUGGUGUGAAUGAGAGGAAUUUGGUUCUGACCACCAGGUCUUGCUGAUAGACUGGACAAGGACAGAAAGAGGAGUAAAUUAAAGGAUAAACCCCUGGUUAUUGUACUCAGUUACUAAAACGGGGUUGCCAUUUGCCUAGAUAUCAACAGGGGAGAGAAAAUAUUCGAGGACAGAAGAAAACUAAGAGUUCUGUUAGUACAUUUAAAUGUGAGGUAUCUAUUGAAUAUCCAAGUGGAGAUGUCGAAUAGGCACUUGUGUAUGAGUAUGGAGUGCAGAGUGAGGGCCUGGAUGUUAAAAAUUUGGAAGUCAAAGGUAUAUGGGUGAUAUUUAAAGCCACAGUCUUAGGAUAAUAGAUGUGAGGACUGAGCUCUGGUAUACUUGUAUUUAUAGAGGUUUGGGGAAUGAGAGGAACAUAGGAAACGAGCUUGAAGUGAGGUGG
RNAcentral lists this long non-coding RNA (807 nucleotides) under Homo sapiens (human). RNAcentral describes it as "HSALNT0094237". The record is from RNAcentral. Lineage: Eukaryota; Metazoa; Chordata; Mammalia; Primates; Hominidae.